CAGCUAGUGCAAGAAGGAACACAUGUGAAAAUUACAUCUGAAACUCCAAAUUUUGCUCAAUAAAAUCAAGCUAUAAGGAGGCAAAAACUUGAAGAGGGGAAAGCUAGACAGUUUUGCUUAUAUCCUUAGCAUCAAACCCCAAACUUUGCUCCAUAAAACAAGACCUGGGAAAUUUACCGGCAACUUGUUCACUUCAAC
Long non-coding RNA from Ipomoea nil (Japanese morning glory), 198 nucleotides. RefSeq lists it as uncharacterized. NCBI's taxonomy places the organism in Eukaryota, Viridiplantae, Streptophyta, Magnoliopsida, Solanales, Convolvulaceae. The record is from RefSeq and is a predicted model, not a curated record. The transcript is spliced from 3 exons.